RNAcentral lists this ribosomal RNA (502 nucleotides) under uncultured bacterium. RNAcentral's name for it is "bacterial SSU rRNA". It matches the Rfam family "Bacterial small subunit ribosomal RNA", at positions 28 to 526 of the family's 1533-position model. The record is from RNAcentral.
GAUGAACGCUAGCGACAGGCCUAACACAUGCAAGUCGAGGGGUAGGGUAGCAAUACCCGAGACCGGCGCACGGGUGCGUAACGCGUAUGUAACCUGCCCGAUACCGUGGAAUAGCCUUCCGAAAGGGAGAUUAAUGCCGCAUAACAUCAUCAUUCUGCAUGGUUUGAUGAUUAAAGCUCCGGUGGUAUCGGAUGGGCAUGCGUAUGAUUAGCUAGUUGGCGGGGUAACGGCCCACCAAGGCGACGAUCAUUAGGGGUUCUGAGAGGAAGGUCCCCCACACUGGUACUGAGACACGGACCAGACUCCUACGGGAGGCAGCAGUGAGGAAUAUUGGGCAAUGGGCGAAAGCCUGACCCAGCGACGCCGCGUGGGUGAUGAAGGCCUUCGGGUUGUAAAACCCUUUCGUGCGGAAAGAAUAGUCCUGUAGCGAAUAACUACGGGAUUUGACGGUACCCAGGAAGAAGCACCGGCUAACUCCGUGCCAGCAGCCGCGGUAAUAGUC